This 402-nucleotide ribosomal RNA is filed under the name bacterium. RNAcentral describes it as "partial 16S ribosomal RNA". It matches the Rfam family "Bacterial small subunit ribosomal RNA", at positions 355 to 776 of the family's 1533-position model. The record is from RNAcentral.
UGGGGAAUUUUGCACAAUGGGGGACACCCUGAUGCAGCGACGCCGCGUGAUUUAGAAGGCCUUCGGGUUGUAAAAAUCUUUUCUAUGGGAAGAAAAUGACAGUACCAUAGGAAUAAGGACCGGCUAAUUACGUGCCAGCAGCCGCGGUAAUACGUAAGGUGCGAGCGUUGUCCGGCAUCAUUGGGCGUAAAGGGUACGUAGGCGGGUAAGCAAGUUAGAAGUGAAAUCCUAUAGCUCAACUAUAGUAAGCUUUUAAAACUGCUCAUCUUGAGGUAUGGAAGGGAAAGUGGAAUUCCUAGUGUAGCGGUGAAAUGCGCAGAUAUUAGGAGGAGUACCGGUGGCGAAGGCGACUUUCUGGCCAUAACCUGACGCUGAGGUACGAAAGCGUGGGUAGCAAACAGG